Molecule: ribosomal RNA, 505 nt
Filed under: uncultured bacterium
Lineage: Bacteria
Description: partial 16S ribosomal RNA
Rfam family: Bacterial small subunit ribosomal RNA
Source: RNAcentral
GACGAACGCUGGCGGCGUGCCUAAUACAUGCCAGUAGAACGCACAGUUUAUACCGUAGCUUGCUACACCAUAAACUGUGAGUUGCGAACGGGUGAGUAACGCGUAGGUAACCUGCCUGGUAGCGGGGGAUAACUAUUGGAAACGAUAGCUAAUACCGCAUAAUAUUAAUUAUUGCAUGAUAAUUGAUUGAAAUAUGCAAUUGCAUCACUACCAGAUGGACCUGCGUUGUAUUAGCUAGUAGGUGAGGUAACGGCUCACCUAGGCGACGAUACAUAGCCGACCUGGGAGGGUGAUCGGCCACACUGGGACUGGGACACGGCCCAGAAUCCUACGGGAGGCAGCAGUAGGGAAUCUUCGGCAAAGGACGGAAGUCUGACCGGGCCACGCCGGGUGAGUGAAGAAGGUUUUCGGAUCGUAAAGCUCUGUUGUAAGAGAAGAACGGGUGUGAGAGUGGAAAGUUCACACUGUGACGGUAUCUUACCAGAAAGGGACGGCUAACUACGUG